RNAcentral lists this long non-coding RNA (603 nucleotides) under Bos taurus (domestic cattle). RNAcentral describes it as "long non-coding RNA NONBTAT014116". Lineage: Eukaryota; Metazoa; Chordata; Mammalia; Artiodactyla; Bovidae. The record is from RNAcentral.
GUUCUUUCGAAGUUACAUUGGAGUCCCUCAGUAACCAUUCUUAUUAGAUUCUCACUGGUUUUCAGAGGGAGUUUCUGUUUGUUGGCCAACUUUAGAACACUCUUCUCAUCAAGGAUUACACCUUGAGCUCUUUCUUAAUCCUGUGUGUGCACAGCGCUUCCUUAGGCUCCACAGCCUUCCUCCCCACAUAGUUCUUCAGUUCCACAGGCUUCCUCCUCAGGUAGUUCUCCAACCAGUUGCUUCCAGCCCCUAGAACACCUGUGAGUGGGGGAGAACACCCACAAGGCGCUGCGUCCUCAGAAACCACCUCUUAGCAAAAAUUUUAGCUGGCGAUGGUCAGGGUGUGACUUCAGUGUUCAAACUAAGUCUACAUCUCAUUAAUGAUCUCUGGGUCCACCGUUCUUCUUGAUGCAAGACAGCAUUUGAACAAGCCUGUAGAAUUAGGAGCCUUAUAUUUGAAUGGUGAAGAGAAGAGAAGAUCAUGCUGUUUUCAGGUAAAAUUUCUGGGAGUUCUGUGAAUACAAGGAAUAAUAAGGGAACUUUGAUUCUUAAAGGAAGUCGAUAGCUGCAUUGUUUGCUUUGAAAAUCAGUUUAACUGAAAAA